RNAcentral lists this long non-coding RNA (1154 nucleotides) under Sus scrofa (pig). RNAcentral describes it as "lncRNA (ENSSSCG00070021901.1)". The record is from RNAcentral. Lineage: Eukaryota; Metazoa; Chordata; Mammalia; Artiodactyla; Suidae.
CCCAAGUAAUGUCCAUGAGGAAAUGGGUUUGAUCCCUGGCCUUGCUCAGUGGGUGAAGGUUCCAUGAGCUGUGGAUUAGAUUUUUGAACCACCUCAGAUCACGUUUGGCCAAGGCCAUUGUGGUGGCAUAGGCCAGCAUGUGUCGCUCUGAUGGACCACCAGCCUAGGAAUUUCUCCAUGACAUGUGUGGGGACCCUAAAAUCAAAGUAAAAUCUACUUAAAAAAUAAAGUUACACCUGGCCUCCUGUUAUUAUUGAAUAAUUGCAGUAACAAAUCAUUGUAUCUUUGCCCAGGGUAUACUUUAGUACAUGAAUUUUAUCAGAAGAAUGAUAUCCAUUGAAAUCCUAUCACCGUGUACACAAGGAUCUACUCUGUGGCCUUUAUUUCUCAUGAGAUGAAGAAGAGAAAGACACACUCCCCGUCAGCUCUUUAAAUAGGUGUGGUUAAUACUAAGAAAUAAUGCACAAAAGAAUGGGAAAAUCCUCCACCAGUAAAGGAGAACACCAUUGCUCCUGGAAAGGCAAGGUUUCAACCUGCACUGGUGCUCUGUAUCUUUUGUGUGGCUUCUGAAGGAAGUGGGCAUAGAGAUGGAUGGAUUCAUGCAUAAGCAUUAUCACUGAGUUGUGUCACGGUGAGUGAAAGAAAAGAGGCUUUAGGUAUGGACAUGUUUUCAUACAAUAUUAGUCACCAUGGGCACGUCAAAUUUUCCAUUUCAAAAAAAAAAAAAAUCCCUGUGGCCUGUUGUUCAAAAGACUUGCAAAGAGGCUUGCUGUGCCACUUACCUGGUUGAUUCUUCAGAAGAUGCAUGAAAGAAGAGCCAAUGAUUUUGCAUUCUUGACCUAUUUCUUUUCACGGGCAAUAGAGCCACAUAUUUCAAUGGUCCAAAUCUGAGUUUGAAGACAAAAGCCCUACCUGCCAGCACUGAGUAUCACUGGUACCAUUUUUGGUCACAUUUCCUAGAUAGAGAUAUCGUUCAGGCCUAUUGAAGGAAAAACCUAUGUCAUAAGAUUAAUGAGGUCUAGGAAGUGGUCUAAUAUAUGCUUUCAUUUCAUUUCCCACCAAUGGUAGUCUCUUCCUCCAACUGGCUAUUUGGUGUUGGCUUGAUAACCUCUAAUGUAGAGGACUGUUCUAUAAUAAAAGAAUGACACCUCCCA